GCUUUAAUAGUUUAAAUAAAACACUGGUCUUGUAAACCAAUAUUGAAAUAUAUUUCUUAUAGCU
This 64-nucleotide transfer RNA is filed under the name Laomedia healyi. Its description in RNAcentral is "tRNA-Thr". It matches the Rfam family "tRNA". Rfam says of the family: Transfer RNA (tRNA) molecules are approximately 80 nucleotides in length. Their secondary structure includes four short double-helical elements and three loops (D, anti-codon, and T loops). Further hydrogen bonds mediate the characteristic L-shaped molecular structure. tRNAs have two regions of fundamental functional importance: the anti-codon, which is responsible for specific mRNA codon recognition, and the 3' end, to which the tRNAs corresponding amino acid is attached (by aminoacyl-tRNA synthetases). tRNAs cope with the degeneracy of the genetic code in two manners: having more than one tRNA (with a specific anti-codon) for a particular amino acid; and 'wobble' base-pairing, i.e. permitting non-standard base-pairing at the 3rd anti-codon position. The record is from RNAcentral. Lineage: Eukaryota; Metazoa; Arthropoda; Malacostraca; Decapoda; Laomediidae.